GAAAUGCGAUAAGUAAUGUGAAUUGCAGAAUUCAGUGAAUCAUCGAAUCUUUGAACGCAACUUGCGCCCGCCAGUAUUCUGGCGGGCAUGCCUGUUCGAGCGUCAUUACAACCCUCAGGCCCCCGGGCCUGGCGUUGGGGAUCGGCGGAAGCCCCCUGCGGGCACAACGCCGUCCCCCAAAUACAGUGGCGGUCCCGCCGCAGCUUCCAUUGCGUAGUAGCUAACACCUCGCAACUGGAGAGCGGCGCGGCCACGCCGUAAAACACCCAACUUCUGAAUGUUGACCUCGAAUCAGGUAGGAAUACCCGCUGAACUUAAGC
This 320-nucleotide unclassified non-coding RNA is filed under the name plant metagenome. Its description in RNAcentral is "partial contains 5.8S ribosomal RNA, internal transcribed spacer 2, and large subunit ribosomal RNA". The stretch from base 1 to 105 matches the Rfam family "5.8S ribosomal RNA", at positions 50 to 154 of the family's 154-position model. The record is from RNAcentral.